This 73-nucleotide transfer RNA is filed under the name Saccharomyces cerevisiae P283. RNAcentral's name for it is "tRNA-Ala". The record is from RNAcentral. Lineage: Eukaryota; Fungi; Ascomycota; Saccharomycetes; Saccharomycetales; Saccharomycetaceae.
UGUAUGUAUGCACAUGCAAUUCCUACAUUAUGUUUGAAAUGUUGUAAUGGGGACGGAAAAGCCGUCACUUUUA